Long non-coding RNA from Gorilla gorilla gorilla (western lowland gorilla), 1208 nucleotides. RefSeq lists it as uncharacterized. The record is from RefSeq and is a predicted model, not a curated record. The transcript is spliced from 3 exons. NCBI's taxonomy places the organism in Eukaryota, Metazoa, Chordata, Mammalia, Primates, Hominidae.
CAGUUUGUUUUUUCUACUCAGUGACUGCAAGCCAAGGAGUGAGGGCUCAGAAGAAACCAAAUCUGUCAACAUCUUGAUCUGGGACUCCUGGCCUCCAGACUGUGGGAAGAUAAAUUUAUGUUUGCCUUUGGUAACUUAUUAUGGCAGCCCGAGCUGACUACCACAAGAGGGGUCUCUGAGCUACCUGAAGGGAAAGGAUAAAGCAAAGAACGACAAGAGAUGAGAUGGGGGACAGAGGUGAUGUGCAGGGACUUGCAUGCCACAGUAAGGGGCUUAAAGAUUUUCCUGCAGGGUCUACACCUGGAGACUCCCACCUAAGAUGGGGGUUUAGAUGAGACCACUCUGGGAGGACACGCAGCCGAGUGUGGAGGCCCCAAGGAAGAUCAGCUCUGAAGACACAGGCAGGCAAAGGGCAGACCUCGAAGGAGAUGGAGGAGGAACGAGAGAGGGCAAGAAGAGUCAGGUAAUCUACCUAUGUCCACCCACAAAACAGAACGGACCUGUAAAACACUGCACUCCUACAGCAGCCUGGACUCAACAGCCCAGCCCGGCUCCUCCUCAUCCCUGCAUUCUUGGAACUGUGCUCAUGGUCCAAGCCGGCCUGCCGGCGAUCAGUCUUCCCCCUGACAAGGCUCACUGGAAAACUGUUUCUUUUUUUCCCCUUGAAAGGGUCUGUGUCAACCGCCUCUACAAAUGCCAGACUGUCGAUUCAUCACCGUUACAGAGAAUGGAAGAUAAUCACUUCAAUGACAUCUUCAUCCUAAAAACGUUUCUUUCUUGUCUUUUUUUUUUUUUUUUAAUCACAGAGUUGAUUAUUUUUCCCAAAUAAGAGAUGGGCAGGAAAGUGAUAUUUCAAAUCUCAAAAAACACAAGCCCUCUUGCUUCUAUUCCCCACCAUAAAUUCUUUUUGGCUCCAAGUGGUGGAGGAGAAGGAGGUGGCAGGCAGGGGUGGCUUGCAGCCACACUCCCGUGUUGUCAUUCUUCCCCAGCAGACCACCUCUGGGGCUGCCUCCUCCACAGAGGCCAAGCGUAUUGCAUGUCUGCCGCCUUGCCCCUCGAGAUUAAAAAUAUCAUGUCUGGUCUGAAAACACUUUCUCAAGGCUGUUCCUGAACACUACCUACCCACCCAGAUUAGAAGACUGCGUCUGUUAAUCUAAAACAUGUUUCUAGCAGAGGAGGAAGGAGUGCCUUCAUUACUCCCAGGAGCU